RNAcentral lists this ribosomal RNA (724 nucleotides) under Pseudomonas putida. RNAcentral's name for it is "bacterial SSU rRNA". It matches the Rfam family "Bacterial small subunit ribosomal RNA", at positions 35 to 754 of the family's 1533-position model. The record is from RNAcentral. Lineage: Bacteria; Pseudomonadati; Pseudomonadota; Gammaproteobacteria; Pseudomonadales; Pseudomonadaceae.
GCUGGCGGCAGGCCUAACACAUGCAAGUCGAGCGGAUGACGGGAGCUUGCUCCUGGAUUCAGCGGCGGACGGGUGAGUAAUGCCUAGGAAUCUGCCUGGUAGUGGGGGACAACGUUUCGAAAGGAACGCUAAUACCGCAUACGUCCUACGGGAGAAAGCAGGGGACCUUCGGGCCUUGCGCUAUCAGAUGAGCCUAGGUCGGAUUAGCUAGUUGGUGGGGUAAUGGCUCACCAAGGCGACGAUCCGUAACUGGUCUGAGAGGAUGAUCAGUCACACUGGAACUGAGACACGGUCCAGACUCCUACGGGAGGCAGCAGUGGGGAAUAUUGGACAAUGGGCGAAAGCCUGAUCCAGCCAUGCCGCGUGUGUGAAGAAGGUCUUCGGAUUGUAAAGCACUUUAAGUUGGGAGGAAGGGCAGUAAGCGAAUACCUUGCUGUUUUGACGUUACCGACAGAAUAAGCACCGGCUAACUCUGUGCCAGCAGCCGCGGUAAUACAGAGGGUGCAAGCGUUAAUCGGAAUUACUGGGCGUAAAGCGCGCGUAGGUGGUUCGUUAAGUUGGAUGUGAAAGCCCCGGGCUCAACCUGGGAACUGCAUCCAAAACUGGCGAGCUAGAGUAUGGUAGAGGGUGGUGGAAUUUCCUGUGUAGCGGUGAAAUGCGUAGAUAUAGGAAGGAACACCAGUGGCGAAGGCGACCACCUGGACUGAUACUGACACUGAGGUGC